AGAGUUUGAUCAUGGCUCAGGACGAACGCUGGCGGCGUGCCUAACACAUGCAAGUGGAGCGACGAACCGGGCUUCGGCCCGGGGCAAAGCCGCGAACGGGUGAGUAACACGUGGGUAACCUGCCCUGAUGAUCGGGACAACCCGAGGAAACUCGGGCUAAUACCGAAUGUGCCCUCCGGCCGUAAGGCCUCUGGGGAAAGGAAGCUUCGGCCUCCGCAUCGGGAUGGGCCCGCGGCCCAUUAGCUUGUUGGUGAGGUAACGGCUCACCAAGGCAACGAUGGGUAGCUGGUCUGAGAGGACGAUCAGCCACACUGGGACUGAGACACGGCCCAGACUCCUACGGGAGGCAGCAGUGGGGAAUCUUGCGCAAUGCGCGAAAGCGUGACGCAGCAACGCCGCGUGGGGGAAGAAGGCCUUCGGGUUGUAAACCCCUUUCAGUUGGGACGAAGCUUCGGCGGUGAAUAGCCGUUUGGAGUGACGGUACCUUCAGAAGAAGCCCCGGCUAACUACGUGCCAGCAGCCGCGGUAAUACGUAGGGGGCAAGCGUUGUCCGGAAUCAUUGGGCGUAAAGAGCGUGUAGGCGGCUUGGUAAGUCCGCUGUGAAAGUCCAGGGCUCAACCCUGGAAUGCCGGUGGAAACUGUCAAGCUUGAGUCCGGAAGAGGCGAGUGGAAUUCCUGGUGUAGCGGUGAAAUGCGCAGAUAUCAGGAGGAACACCAAUGGCGAAGGCAGCUCGCUGGGACGGUACUGACGCUGAGACGCGAAAGCGUGGGGAGCAAACAGGAUUAGAUACCCUCGUAGUCC
This 802-nucleotide ribosomal RNA is filed under the name uncultured bacterium. RNAcentral describes it as "bacterial SSU rRNA". It matches the Rfam family "Bacterial small subunit ribosomal RNA", at positions 8 to 796 of the family's 1533-position model. The record is from RNAcentral.